RNAcentral lists this ribosomal RNA (290 nucleotides) under uncultured Magnetovibrio sp. RNAcentral describes it as "partial 16S ribosomal RNA". It matches the Rfam family "Bacterial small subunit ribosomal RNA", at positions 30 to 334 of the family's 1533-position model. Lineage: Bacteria; Pseudomonadati; Pseudomonadota; Alphaproteobacteria; Rhodospirillales; Magnetovibrionaceae. The record is from RNAcentral.
CGAACGCUGGCGGCAUGCCUAACACAUGCAAGUCGAACGAGGUCCGGAGCUUGCUCCGGGUGCCUAGUGGCGGACGGGUGAGUAACGCGUGGGAACCUGCCCUAGAGUGGGGAACAACCUUUGGAAACGAAGGCUAAUACCGCAUACGCUCUGAGGAGGAAAGGCUUCGGCCGCUCUUGGAUGGUCCCGCGUCUGAUUAGCUUGUUGGUGGGGUAACGGCCUACCAAGGCGACGAUCAGUAGCUGGUCUGAGAGGAUGAUCAGCCACACUGGGACUGAGACACGGCCCAG